Molecule: long non-coding RNA, 727 nt
Filed under: Lepisosteus oculatus (spotted gar)
Lineage: Eukaryota; Metazoa; Chordata; Actinopteri; Semionotiformes; Lepisosteidae
Description: lncRNA (ENSLOCG00000021912.1)
Source: RNAcentral
AAAUUCUCUGUUGUGAGGGGAGUUUUCCAUGAGGAUUAGAAAGACAUCAGCUAGAGAAUUGGUUUUAAAAGUUAUUAUUCUAUUCUGUUGCACAUCAUGGAGUGCUCUUUAGAAAAGUAAUUUACUGUUCUUUUUCACCAGCGAUUGCUCUCAGUUCCCUAAGACAGUGCUUUACAGAACACAUUUCUAUUCUAGUAGGAAAACCCUGGUCAGCCUGGCUAUUGAUUUACUCACUCGAAAUGUACCAGCAGAGCAAACGUGGAAAUUAAGUGCACAAAGUGCAGUUUCCACCAGCCUGCAGCACCUGCUGUACAUAAGAACGUCUCUGAUGCAUAACCCCGCUUUUACCAUGAUUCAGCCAAUCCACUUUCCUUUUACCACGAUCCUUGUUUUGGGAUUAAUAGCGGCUCCAUCGUUCCCCACUCCUCCCUGUUUGUUUAUGAGCACCUUUCCCUGCGUCGUAAAUGGGCAGCGAUGAAACUGGAAGGCUCAAAGGGAUAAGAUCUGAUGCGACAGUGGUCCUAUAGUCCUAUGCGACAGUGGUUUUCAUAAUAAGCUCAAUUAUGAAAACAGUUUUCAUCUGUUGUCUAAUAAUCCAUAGUUGCAUUUCAUACAUUAUAACAUAAACAUAAAGAAUACAGUUUUUGGCAAAUCAAGAGACGUUGUUAGCUACCAUUACUAUGCUUUCUGCAUCAUGAAAAUAUAAAGACAGAUUAUUUCCACUUCU